AUUGAACGCUGGCGGCAUGCCUUACACAUGCAAGUCGAACGGCAGCACGGGUGCUUGCACCUGGUGGCGAGUGGCGAACGGGUGAGUAAUACAUCGGAACAUGUCCUGUAGUGGGGGAUAGCCCGGCGAAAGCCGGAUUAAUACCGCAUACGAUCUACGGAUGAAAGCGGGGGACCUUCGGGCCUCGCGCUAUAGGGUUGGCCGAUGGCUGAUUAGCUAGUUGGGGGGUAAAGGCCUACCAAGGCGACGAUCAGUAGCUGGUCUGAGAGGACGACCAGCCACACUGGGACUGAGACACGGCCCAGACUCCUACGGGAGGCAGCAGUGGGGAAUUUUGGACAAUGGGCGAAAGCCUGAUCCAGCAAUGCCGCGUGUGUGAAGAAGGCCUUCGGGUUGUAAAGCACUUUUGUCCGGAAAGAAAUCCUUGGCCCUAAUACGGUCGGGGGAUGACGGUACCGGAAGAAUAAGCACCGGCUAACUACGUG
Molecule: ribosomal RNA, 485 nt
Filed under: uncultured bacterium
Lineage: Bacteria
Description: partial 16S ribosomal RNA
Rfam family: Bacterial small subunit ribosomal RNA
Source: RNAcentral